Molecule: long non-coding RNA, 773 nt
Organism: Panicum virgatum (switchgrass)
Lineage: Eukaryota; Viridiplantae; Streptophyta; Magnoliopsida; Poales; Poaceae
Exons: 2
Source: RefSeq, a predicted model, not a curated record
AGCGUGGCGAGGUAGAUCCACGAGGGGCGGUGCCAUGGACGGCGACCCCCGGGCGAGGCUCCUUCGACGGCGACCCUAGCCUCUUUAUCUUCAACCUCGGCGGUGCGAGAUCCGCUACCUCCUUUCCACCUCUACUUCGGCGGCGUGAGAUCCACAAAGGGCGCCGCCUUGGACGACGACGGCGACCCUUCCUCAUGCAACAGCGCCACGCGACGGAUUUGACUCUAGAUCUACCGGGCCACUCGGAUGAGGGGUGGCAUGGAUCCAACGACGGAGCUCGCGGAGGCAGCUGCGACAACGGCAUGCGGACGGUGGCACGGAUCCGGCGAGCGCGCGGUGGAUGCACCCUCCCUUCGACCAACGGCGGCGCAUCUGCAUCCUCCGGGUGGGCGUGGUUCAGCGGGGACGGCGGAUGAGGCAGCGAGCGAGCGGCGCUGGCGAGCCGAGGUGGUAGGCGAAUCUCCGGCGGCCGGCAGCCGCUUGGGUCGGAGUGGAUUUUUUUUAAUUUUUUUGUUUUCGCCAGUAGCAGCGGGCGGUUGCAACUUUCGCCCGCUGCAGUAGACAUUCCAUUUUUAGGGGCGAGUGCAUAGCGGUGGGUGGCCGGGCCUGCCGCUACAGUAGCUAUUCGCCCGCCUCUGUAGAGGUCUUCUGGUGUAGUGUUACUUCCUGAGCUUUCCUUUGCAAUUGAUCAAGCGCAUGUCCAAUCUUCAUCUGGUGCUCCUCCCGAAGUAAAAUCUUCCACUGCUGCAUAAAAGCCAAGAUUUUGAAACCAA